UACGAGGGAUGCAAGCGUUAUCCGGAAUUAUUGGGCGUAAAGCGUCCGCAGGUGGCUCUGUAAGUCUGUCGUUAAAGAAUGGGGCUCAACCCCAUACAGGCGGUGGAAACUACAAGGCUAGAGUUUGGUAAGGGUCACGGGAAUUCCUAGUGUAGCGGUGAAAUGCGUAGAUAUUAGGAGGAACACCAGCGGCUAAAGUGCGUUAGUGGGCCAGUACUGACACUCAUGGACGAAUGCUAGGGGAGCGAAAGUG
This 253-nucleotide ribosomal RNA is filed under the name uncultured bacterium. RNAcentral describes it as "partial 16S ribosomal RNA". It matches the Rfam family "Bacterial small subunit ribosomal RNA", at positions 524 to 776 of the family's 1533-position model. The record is from RNAcentral.